AACGAACGCUGGCGGCGCGCCUAAUACAUGCAAGUCGAGCGAGAAGACGUAGCAAUACGUUUGUAAAGCGGCGAACGGGUGAGGAAUACAUGGGUAACCUACCCUCGAGUGGGGAAUAACUAGCCGAAAGGUUAGCUAAUACCGCGUACGCUCCUUGGACUUCGGUUCAGGGAGGAAAGCGAUACCGUGGGUAUCGCGCUCUUGGAUGGGCUCAUGUCCUAUCAGCUUGUUGGUGAGGUAACGGCUCACCAAGGCUUCGACGGGUAGCUGGUCUGAGAGGACGGUCAGCCACACUGGCACUGCGACACGGGCCAGACUCCUACGGGAGGCAGCAGUAAGGAAUAUUGCGCAAGUGGGCGAAAGCCUGACGCAGCGACGCCGCGGUGGGGGAGU
Molecule: ribosomal RNA, 393 nt
Filed under: uncultured bacterium
Lineage: Bacteria
Description: bacterial SSU rRNA
Rfam family: Bacterial small subunit ribosomal RNA
Source: RNAcentral